RNAcentral lists this ribosomal RNA (497 nucleotides) under uncultured bacterium. RNAcentral describes it as "partial 16S ribosomal RNA". It matches the Rfam family "Bacterial small subunit ribosomal RNA", at positions 28 to 507 of the family's 1533-position model. The record is from RNAcentral.
GAUGAACGCUGGCGGCGUGCCUAAUACAUGCAAGUCGAGCGACCAGACGAUGAGCUUUCUCCUCUGACGUUAGCGGCUGACGGGUGAGUAACACGUGGAUAACCUACCUCUUUUUCUUGGAUAACUUCGUGAAACCGGUUCUUCUACCGUCUAAUAUAUUGAACCGCUUGGUUCAAUAGUUAUUGACGGUUUUGCUGUCUCUUUUAGCUGGUUCCGCGCUGCAUUAGCUAGUUGGUAAGGUAACGGCUUACCAAGGCAACGAUGCGUAGCCGACAUGAGAGGGGGAUCGGCAACACUGGAACUGAGACACGGUCAAGACUACUACGGGAGGCAGCAGUAGGGAAUAUUCCGCAAUGGGCGAAAGCAUGACGGAGCAACGCCGCGUGAGUGAUGAAGGACUUCGGAUCGUAAAACUCUGUUAUUAGGGAAGAAAAAAAGUGUAAGAAAAUAUGCACGUAAUGACGGUAACUAAACAGAAAGCAACGGCUAACUACGUG